UGGGGAAUAUUGGACAAUGGGCGCAAGCCUGAUCCAGCCAUGCCGCGUGAGUGAUGAAGGCCUUAGGGUUGUAAAGCUCUUUCAGUGGGGAAGAUAAUGACGGUACCCACAGAAGAAGCCCCGGCUAACUUCGUGCCAGCAGCCGCGGUAAUACGAAGGGGGCUAGCGUUGUUCGGAUUUACUGGGCGUAAAGCGCACGUAGGCGGUUUGUUAAGUCAGAGGUGAAAUCCCGGAGCUCAACUCCGGAACUGCCUUUGAUACUGGCAAGCUAGAGUCCGGAAGAGGUGAGUGGAACUCCUAGUGUAGAGGUGGAAUUCGUAGAUAUUAGGAAGAACACCAGUGGCGAAGGCGGCUCACUGGUCCGGUACUGACGCUGAGGUGCGAAAGCGUGGGGAGCAAACAGGAUUAGAUACCC
RNAcentral lists this ribosomal RNA (415 nucleotides) under uncultured bacterium. RNAcentral describes it as "bacterial SSU rRNA". It matches the Rfam family "Bacterial small subunit ribosomal RNA", at positions 355 to 787 of the family's 1533-position model. The record is from RNAcentral.